Molecule: transfer RNA, 73 nt
Filed under: SR1 bacterium human oral taxon HOT-345
Lineage: Bacteria; Candidatus Absconditibacteriota
Also listed under: 2 other names
Rfam family: tRNA
About the family: Transfer RNA (tRNA) molecules are approximately 80 nucleotides in length. Their secondary structure includes four short double-helical elements and three loops (D, anti-codon, and T loops). Further hydrogen bonds mediate the characteristic L-shaped molecular structure. tRNAs have two regions of fundamental functional importance: the anti-codon, which is responsible for specific mRNA codon recognition, and the 3' end, to which the tRNAs corresponding amino acid is attached (by aminoacyl-tRNA synthetases). tRNAs cope with the degeneracy of the genetic code in two manners: having more than one tRNA (with a specific anti-codon) for a particular amino acid; and 'wobble' base-pairing, i.e. permitting non-standard base-pairing at the 3rd anti-codon position.
Source: Rfam by way of RNAcentral
UCGGGAGUAGCUUAAUUGGUAGAGCAUCAGACUCUGAAUCUGGGGGUUAUAGGUUCGAGUCCUAUCUCCCGAG